GGCUACAGCAAACACCUGCACCCACACUGGCCCUUUUCAGAUAAGAUUGAGCACCAGAGAAGAAGUCUAUGCUGUUUGGUUGCCUUUGCUCUCCAUGUCUGCUCACCAGUUCUGCCUCAGAGUGUUUCAGUUCAUGAGGAGCUGAGUGCUCGUCUGCAGUGGAGUGGAGACGGCAUUAGACAGAGACAUUCACAAGUAGUGUGUGACAUGUUAUCUGCUGAUGCACCUUUCUGACUCCAGACAGCUGUAAUUGACUCCACAUAACAAACCAGAAUUAACAGCUCAAUGAUGGCAACUCGCCAUCGCUCGUUCUGGACGAGCUGCUCAAGUCGGGAGGAAGAGUGGAAGGAUUUGAGGGGCGAGGGCGAUGCUAACCGACGGCCUGGCGCUAACUCACCUUCCGAGCGCCCCGCCCGCGCGCCGCCGCCGCCUCCUCGUCGGCUGACGCACGGCCAGCGCUCGCUCAGACGGCACGGCGAUUUCGCGAUCUUAUCAGCCGCACUCCGAUCCGUCGUCUUCUCAUUCUGCGGUAGGGGAAAAUGAGCCGUUUUUCGCUGGAACGGACAAUCCGUUUCUAACACGGAGGUCUGGAUUCGAAUCAGGAUCCUUAACUUUGACUAAUAAAUGCAAGUGAGCCUCUCUUUUUCCUUCACGGGCAAGAAGAGGGGAAAAAAACCGUUAAGAACAAAGGUUGAUUAAAUCCAGGCCUGUGUGCAGAAAAUAGAGGGCUAUUGUAUCUCAGCGACCUCAGGCAAGAAACCACACAGAAACUGUGAAUGAAGGCACCCUCUAAGUCCUUCCCAUACCUUGGACGUCCCAGUCAUCCAGUCGUGAUGUUCUGCGAUGGUCAACGCUGCUGAGUGGACCUUCUCAUAGAUGGCCUCUCCCUCUCGUGUCUGAAAGCUUCAAAGGUGAACCAGGUUUUAUCUCGACCAUAACGACGCAGAGCUGUCAACGGCCAGGACGUGAUUUUGGAGUGAGGGCUGAGCGCGUCAAGGAGGCAAAUGGUUUCCAUGGUAAUCUGAAGAAGGCAUUCCCCGUGUACGUCCAAGCUACGAGAUGGCAUCAAGAACACAUGGAAUCUCUCUAAAGAAAUGAGGUAGAUGUCACAAAGUAAAUAUACAAAAUAGUUGUCAUGUGAUGUCACUGCUACAAUUUCAUUUUUUAAAUAUAAAUCGGAUUCUGAUGUUAAUGCAUUCUAAAAUAUGAAAAGAAAUGGUCAGCCAUCCUGCAAUGUAUAAACAUUGUCACUAAAUUGCACGCCACAGAGAUCCUGCAUUAUAAUUUAGUUAAAACGCUUCUGUUACUACAUUUUUUCACAAAGCUCAAAGCUUUUAUUUUGUUAAUGUUUUGUUGACUGUAAUGUCAAAAUCCAUGCAAGCACAGGGGUACAUGUCACCAUUUCUGCUUUUUUUUUGUUUUACAAAUAUGAUUCUGUUUAAUAAGUUGUGAACCAGCCAAACGAUUCUGCACAAGAACAUGGCGGCUCUGUUAAUAGUAUGUGAAGGGCAAAUGACAAACUUAAAAUGUUCUGCUGGCAUUUCCUUCAUAUGGAUAGUCAGUAAUGGUUGCAGAUGAUGGCUAAAAUCUUUCUUUGGAAAGACUGCACAAAUGUUCCUCAUUACAUUUUAUGGAAAGGAAAAUGAACUCACUCUCUUCAUCUCUUUUUGACCUAAUAAACUAAUAAAUAAAUAACUCCUCACUA
Anguilla rostrata (American eel) is the source of this 1705-nucleotide long non-coding RNA. RefSeq lists it as uncharacterized. The record is from RefSeq and is a predicted model, not a curated record. Lineage: Eukaryota; Metazoa; Chordata; Actinopteri; Anguilliformes; Anguillidae. The transcript has 6 exons.